GCGGGCGUAGCUCAAUGGUAGAGUUCUGGCCUUCCAAGCCAGCUGUGAGGGUUCGAUCCCCUUCACCCGCUCCA
RNAcentral lists this transfer RNA (74 nucleotides) under Clostridioides difficile. RNAcentral's name for it is "tRNA-Gly". It matches the Rfam family "tRNA". From Rfam's summary of the family: Transfer RNA (tRNA) molecules are approximately 80 nucleotides in length. Their secondary structure includes four short double-helical elements and three loops (D, anti-codon, and T loops). The record is from RNAcentral. Lineage: Bacteria; Bacillati; Bacillota; Clostridia; Peptostreptococcales; Peptostreptococcaceae.